RNA transcript from Esox lucius (northern pike), 1426 nucleotides. RefSeq lists it as uncharacterized. NCBI's taxonomy places the organism in Eukaryota, Metazoa, Chordata, Actinopteri, Esociformes, Esocidae. The record is from RefSeq and is a predicted model, not a curated record. The transcript is spliced from 2 exons.
UAACAUGCAAAUAGAUUAACCUAAAAAAAUCCACACUUUGAUGUGAGCAUGCUGUCUCCCAUAUCAGCAAAGGACCUGCUAAGAUGGGGGUCUUGAAUACAGCUCAGCCACUACCCCCACUGAUGCACCUGUCUUUAAUCAGACCAGGAGUAAGUAAAGUUGGAGGAAAAGUGUUAUGUGUGAUCAAACUGCCUGUGUUACAGAACUGUUUCUGGGACUCAGGGACUACAAAAUACCUAAUAUAAUUAGAAGAGUGCUGAGACCGCCGACGCUUUGACCAUCCACACCAUUAUCUCCAGAAUCGCCACUAUGGGAAGCCCAGGACCAAGCAGUCUCAAUUUCCUCAGCAGUUCUGCAUUUGUUUUCAAGGUUCCAUUUCUGCUUAGUUAAUGAACGCCCUUUAUGGCCCAAACCUGUUUCCCUUCCUGUGUUCUCUCCCCAUGAAAGGAUUGAUCCUUCUAGGAAACCUGUUGUGAUGCUGAGGAAAUUAUUCAAAAUAAUUAGUGAGUGUACACUCUGUCCAUUAUAUAAUUGUUAAAGCUGCUACACAUUAAGACAAUGGAGAAAUUGUAUAAUUCAUGAAAGUUGAUAUUAUAAUAAGUGAUGCACUAUGUUGAAGGCCUUACACAGACCUUUAAAAGGAAUGCAUGUCCUUCUUUUACAGUACAGUUAAUAACUUCCAAAUCAUAGCAGAGGUUGUGUUAUGACCAGGUCUAAAACCCAAUUCAUUUAUAUUUAGAAUAUAAUGAGUUAAUAAGGAUUUGAGUUGAGGAUUCCCAUUGUUUAGGUAGACAGAAGUGUAGAAAUGGGGUUCUAAUGAUUUAUCACUUUUGUGGCGCGGGUGCACAUCGGCCACGUUCCAGACCCUGGGGAAGGUGCCGGAAGAAAUCAUAGGUUUAAUCCUGCAAUGGGACGUACUGUACAGAAAGUUACGACAAGACUGCAGGUUUUUUGGUGGCUGCAGAGCAACCGACAGGAAUAAGAGUGACAUCAACUGCAUCACCAAGAGAGUGGAUGACAUACAUGAGAUGAGUGAAAGGCUACGGUUUAUGGAAAUGAGCAUUACCCAUAAUCACAGUAACCACUUGGGGGCAACGGCCAAACCAGAAGAACUCAUACUGACAAUAGAAGAGACGUUACAGGUACCUUGUGAUAUGUACAAUGGGACUUAAACCUUGAAGAAAAUGGUUGUCUGAUGUUGGAUUCUUCCCCAAGAGAAACAAAGGAGCCAGUUUGCUUAUGUUUCCUUGCACAAAUGGGGCAACCUAGUCUAUCACAAACCGAUAUCCACUGUCUAUCACAUUCAGUAAAGCAAUGGAGUCGACUGAUGUUUGGCAGAGGAGAGGUUGUUAUAAUUAAAACAGAGUGAUUAAAUAUUUUGCAGCAUUGGAUGCAUAUGCUUGACAUCAAUCAUAACUGUGAGCUG